AGCAGCCGCGGUAAUUCCAGCUCCAAUAGCGUAUAUUAAAGUUGUUGCAGUUAAAAAGCUCGUAGUUGAAUUUCGGGGUUAGUAGGCUGGUCGUGCCACAGGUAUGCACUGGUCUUACUGACUUCUCCUUUCUGAAGAACUGUAAUGCCAUUAAUUUGGUGUUGCAGGGAAACAGGACUGUUACUUUGAAAAAAUUAGAGUGUUUAAAGCAGGCUAACGCUUGAAUACAUUAGCAUGGAAUAAUGAAAUAGGACGUUCGAUCCUAUUUUGUUGGUUUCUAGGAUUGACGUAAUGAUUAAUAGGGAUAGUUGGGGGCAUUAGUAUUCAAUUGUCAGAGGUGAAAUUCUUGGAUUUAUUGAAGACUAACUACUGCGAAAGCAUUUGCCAAGGAUGUUUUCAUUAAUCAAGAACGAAGGUUAGGGGAUCGAAGACGAUCAGAUACCGUCGUAGUCUUAACCAUAAACUAUGCCGACUAGGGAUCGGAUGAUGUUAAUUUUUAAUGACUCAUUCGGCGCCUUAA
RNAcentral lists this ribosomal RNA (520 nucleotides) under uncultured Glomus. RNAcentral's name for it is "SSU rRNA". It matches the Rfam family "Eukaryotic small subunit ribosomal RNA", at positions 569 to 1091 of the family's 1831-position model. Lineage: Eukaryota; Fungi; Glomeromycota; Glomeromycetes; Glomerales; Glomeraceae. The record is from RNAcentral.